Small nucleolar RNA from Raphanus sativus (radish), 107 nucleotides. Lineage: Eukaryota; Viridiplantae; Streptophyta; Magnoliopsida; Brassicales; Brassicaceae. The record is from RefSeq and is a predicted model, not a curated record.
AACCCAUGAUGAGGACACUGAGUUUGGUAACCUUUGAACCGCUCGUAUGCUUCCCCAAAGCCCUCUAGGUUUUGUUGCUGAAAUCCAGAAAUCUGGUUCCUGAGUUU